Molecule: ribosomal RNA, 370 nt
Filed under: uncultured bacterium
Lineage: Bacteria
Description: partial 16S ribosomal RNA
Rfam family: Bacterial small subunit ribosomal RNA
Source: RNAcentral
CCUACGGGAGGCAGCAGUAGGGAAUUUUCCACAAUGGGCGAAAGCCUGAUGGAGCAACGCCGCGUGGGUGAAGAAGGUCUUCGGAUCGUAAAACCCUGUUGUUAGAGAAGAAAGUGCGUGAGAGUAACGGUUCACGUUUCGACGGUAUCGAACCAGAAAGCCACGGCUAACUACGGGCCAGCAUCCGCGGGAAGACGUAGGUGGCAAGCGUUAUCCGGAUUUAUUGGGCGUAAAGGGAACGCAGGCGGUCUUUUAAGUCUGAGGUGAAAGCCUUCGGCUUAACCGGAGUAGUGCAUUGGAAACUGGGAGACUUGAGUGCAGACGAGGAGAUUCGACCUCCCUUUGUAGCGGUUACAUGCGUAGCUAUAUG